Eriocheir sinensis (Chinese mitten crab) is the source of this 1893-nucleotide long non-coding RNA. RefSeq lists it as uncharacterized. The transcript is spliced from 5 exons. The record is from RefSeq and is a predicted model, not a curated record. Lineage: Eukaryota; Metazoa; Arthropoda; Malacostraca; Decapoda; Varunidae.
AUCACAUUUUUAUUCGUCAAGACCACAUGUUAAUUUAGGCACAAGUACGAGAUCUACAGUUCAAAAGAAAAUUUUUCCUAGCUACUUUGCAUAAUUGUGUUAGCCAGGUAUUCUUAAAACAUCCGUUUUCUCAACAAAAUAUUGAGAAAUGGCAUGGGUUCAAUUAUUGUUGUUUCUAAUGAUGAAGAUGAUGCAUAGCUUAUGUUUUCCUACUGGAAAGUACUUACCCAUGCUGCAAGGAUCCUGUAAACUGGUCUAUGGUGCGGCAUUAACACAACAGAGACAUCACACAAGCUCGUCAUCGGCCCGACUUGGCAGGGUUACCGACAGGAAGCACAAGAAAAUUUAAAUAGCACCGGCCAAAGGAGAAGCGGUACCCGCCGUACCUGUUAUCCACAGUGACGUCACUGAUAAAACAGCCGAGUCGUGUCUUACGCGUGGGAGCAAUUCUUGGCAAGGGACUGGAAGACGUCUUAGAACUAACAAAGUACAAACCAAAAUAACGAUCGGCAGUACUCGCAAACUUAGAGGGGCCUAUGACGAAGCUUAACCUGUACUAGGGUGUACGAUAACGUUUAGCUAUACCCGCGGCAGCACCAGCCAGCGCCAAUUGUAACACUCAAUCAACACUCAGCAAAGGUCAGAGCAGGAUGUGUCUCUCAUUCAUCCUGGACCUCUUAUAUGGCGCAGUGAAAGCCCGUCAAGACAAAAAGAGUCUAGUAUCCUCGAGGGUGAGCUACACGACACACCCGUCAUGGGACACCACGUUGGAGGGUGAGCCAAAAUGAUGCUUCGUUCACCUGGUAAGUCACUUAAACAACUCUCCACAAUAUGCAAGGUGUACAGGAGCCUGCAGACACUCACCUUAUCAUAUUGUUCAGAUAAAAACCGAGAAGCUGCCCACGAGCCGCCAGAAACUAUUACGGAACGCCACGAGGUAAGAAAUACUAUGGGCUGGAGGAGGACCUGUGUUCCACGAAUCUUUUCGCAGCCACAAAAUAGCUCGCAGAGGUUCAACUUUCUUCCUUUUUCUAUGUUUCACUCACCGCUAUCGUUUACUUUUCCUAAUUCGGCUCCAAUACGUGGCACAAACAUCAGAGACACACUUUUAAUCAAGAGAAGGCUUUAUAACAAACGAGUAGGGCAGAUUUUAGAAAGAAUUACCCCCACGCUGAUGUUCACUCAGUUUUUGCUUGUUUGGUCUGUUGGUCUGGUGUGUUGUUCUCUUACGGCAAUAUCAACCAUUACAAAAGAUAUCAAGUGGACAAACUAGAACAAAACCAGGCAUAUUAAUGUUUCCCUGCUGUGUAUUCCUUUGUGCGCAUGCGUAGUGGACAGCAGAUGCGACUUAUUUCUGUGAGGAGGUUUUCUCGCAACACCGCCAGCGCCAUCUGUCAUGAGCAGACGUUUCGAUUCCCUGUUCGAGAAACGUUACACACUAUAUAUUUAAGUGUUUAGCCGGGGUGGCAAAUAAGCCUCUGAGAAGUGGAUCAAUGCCGCCCUCCUCAAUGAUCCUCCACGGGCUGAAGAAAGCUUUGUGCAGAGGAAGCAGUCUAUGCCACUCUCGCUCAGGUCUCUCCGGCAGUCCACCGGGGCACCAGCACUGAACGGCAUCAUUGGCUUUCCUGUUGGCCCCGGGAUGCCAUGUCUUAGCUUCCCUUCAUAAAAAGACGUUUUACUGUACAUAGAGCUACAGCUGGACUAUGUUGGUCAUGAAAAUAGAAACUUCAUACCCACCUGGGAAGCAUCCAGAAAAGAGCUGAUGGUUGGCCGGGGUUGCCCUUCAGCCUGGCAGGGGAGUACAAUGGCCUCGUCACCUUCCUUAGCCAGCAUGUCUCGAGGCUCCACACGAAUAACAGGAGCUACCUAGGAAUGAGGAGAGUGCAAAUGAUG